UUAAUAGCAUAUUCAUUUGACGUUAGCUGCAGAAGAAGCACCGGCUAACUCCGUGCCAGCAGCCGCGGUAAUACGGAGGGUGCGAGCGUUAAUCGGAAUUACUGGCGUAAAGCGCAUGCAGGUGGUUUGUUAAGUCAGAUGUGAAAGACCCGGGGCGUCAACCUCGGAAUUGCAUUUGUAAACUAGGCAAACUAAGAGUACUGUAGAGGGGGGUAGGAAUUUCAGGUGUAGCGGUGAAAUGCGUAGAGAUCUGAAGGAAUACCGGUGGCGAAGGCGGCCCCCUGGACAGAUACUGACACUCAGAUGCGAAAGCGUGGGGAGCAAACAGGAUUAGAUACCCUGGUAG
This 346-nucleotide ribosomal RNA is filed under the name uncultured bacterium. RNAcentral describes it as "bacterial SSU rRNA". It matches the Rfam family "Bacterial small subunit ribosomal RNA", at positions 453 to 793 of the family's 1533-position model. The record is from RNAcentral.